RNAcentral lists this ribosomal RNA (2584 nucleotides) under Escherichia coli. Its description in RNAcentral is "partial 23S ribosomal RNA". It matches the Rfam family "Bacterial large subunit ribosomal RNA", at positions 370 to 2925 of the family's 2925-position model. Lineage: Bacteria; Pseudomonadati; Pseudomonadota; Gammaproteobacteria; Enterobacterales; Enterobacteriaceae. The record is from RNAcentral.
GCCCCGUACACAAAAAUGCACAUAUUGUGAGCUCGAUGAGUAGGGCGGGACACGUGGUAUCCUGUCUGAAUAUGGGGGGACCAUCCUCCAAGGCUAAAUACUCCUGACUGACCGAUAGUGAACCAGUACCGUGAGGGAAAGGCGAAAAGAACCCCGGCGAGGGGAGUGAAAAAGAACCUGAAACCGUGUACGUACAAGCAGUGGGAGCCUCUUAAUGGGGUGACUGCGUACCUUUUGUAUAAUGGGUCAGCGACUUAUAUUCUGUAGCAAGGUUAACCGAAUAGGGGAGCCGAAGGGAAACCGAGUCUUAACUGGGCGUUAAGUUGCAGGGUAUAGACCCGAAACCCGGUGAUCUAGCCAUGGGCAGGUUGAAGGUUGGGUAACACUAACUGGAGGACCGAACCGACUAAUGUUGAAAAAUUAGCGGAUGACUUGUGGCUGGGGGUGAAAGGCCAAUCAAACCGGGAGAUAGCUGGUUCUCCCCGAAAGCUAUUUAGGUAGCGCCUCGUGAAUUCAUCUCCGGGGGUAGAGCACUGUUUCGGCAAGGGGGUCAUCCCGACUUACCAACCCGAUGCAAACUGCGAAUACCGGAGAAUGUUAUCACGGGAGACACACGGCGGGUGCUAACGUCCGUCGUGAAGAGGGAAACAACCCAGACCGCCAGCUAAGGUCCCAAAGUCAUGGUUAAGUGGGAAACGAUGUGGGAAGGCCCAGACAGCCAGGAUGUUGGCUUAGAAGCAGCCAUCAUUUAAAGAAAGCGUAAUAGCUCACUGGUCGAGUCGGCCUGCGCGGAAGAUGUAACGGGGCUAAACCAUGCACCGAAGCUGCGGCAGCGACACUAUGUGUUGUUGGGUAGGGGAGCGUUCUGUAAGCCUGUGAAGGUGGCCUGUGAGGGUUGCUGGAGGUAUCAGAAGUGCGAAUGCUGACAUAAGUAACGAUAAAGCGGGUGAAAAGCCCGCUCGCCGGAAGACCAAGGGUUCCUGUCCAACGUUAAUCGGGGCAGGGUGAGUCGACCCCUAAGGCGAGGCCGAAAGGCGUAGUCGAUGGGAAACAGGUUAAUAUUCCUGUACUUGGUGUUACUGCGAAGGGGGGACGGAGAAGGCUAUGUUGGCCGGGCGACGGUUGUCCCGGUUUAAGCGUGUAGGCUGGUUUUCCAGGCAAAUCCGGAAAACCAAGGCUGAGGCGUGAUGACGAGGCACUACGGUGCUGAAGCGACAAAUGCCCUGCUUCCAGGAAAAGCCUCUAAGCAUCAGGUAACAUCAAAUCGUACCCCAAACCGACACAGGUGGUCAGGUAGAGAAUACCAAGGCGCUUGAGAGAACUCGGGUGAAGGAACUAGGCAAAAUGGUGCCGUAACUUCGGGAGAAGGCACGCUGAUAUGUAGGUGAAGCGACUUGCUCGUGGAGCUGAAAUCAGUCGAAGAUACCAGCUGGCUGCAACUGUUUAUUAAAAACACAGCACUGUGCAAACACGAAAGUGGACGUAUACGGUGUGACGCCUGCCCGGUGCCGGAAGGUUAAUUGAUGGGGUUAGCGGCAACGCGAAGCUCUUGAUCGAAGCCCCGGUAAACGGCGGCCGUAACUAUAACGGUCCUAAGGUAGCGAAAUUCCUUGUCGGGUAAGUUCCGACCUGCACGAAUGGCGUAAUGAUGGCCAGGCUGUCUCCACCCGAGACUCAGUGAAAUUGAACUCGCUGUGAAGAUGCAGUGUACCCGCGGCAAGACGGAAAGACCCCGUGAACCUUUACUAUAGCUUGACACUGAACAUUGAGCCUUGAUGUGUAGGAUAGGUGGGAGGCUUUGAAGUGUGGACGCCAGUCUGCAUGGAGCCGACCUUGAAAUACCACCCUUUAAUGUUUGAUGUUCUAACGUUGGCCCGUAAUCCGGGUUGCGGACAGUGUCUGGUGGGUAGUUUGACUGGGGCGGUCUCCUCCUAAAGAGUAACGGAGGAGCACGAAGGUUGGCUAAUCCUGGUCGGACAUCAGGAGGUUAGUGCAAUGGCAUAAGCCAGCUUGACUGCGAGCGUGACGGCGCGAGCAGGUGCGAAAGCAGGUCAUAGUGAUCCGGUGGUUCUGAAUGGAAGGGCCAUCGCUCAACGGAUAAAAGGUACUCCGGGGAUAACAGGCUGAUACCGCCCAAGAGUUCAUAUCGACGGCGGUGUUUGGCACCUCGAUGUCGGCUCAUCACAUCCUGGGGCUGAAGUAGGUCCCAAGGGUAUGGCUGUUCGCCAUUUAAAGUGGUACGCGAGCUGGGUUUAGAACGUCGUGAGACAGUUCGGUCCCUAUCUGCCGUGGGCGCUGGAGAACUGAGGGGGGCUGCUCCUAGUACGAGAGGACCGGAGUGGACGCAUCACUGGUGUUCGGGUUGUCAUGCCAAUGGCACUGCCCGGUAGCUAAAUGCGGAAGAGAUAAGUGCUGAAAGCAUCUAAGCACGAAACUUGCCCCGAGAUGAGUUCUCCCUGACUCCUUGAGAGUCCUGAAGGAACGUUGAAGACGACGACGUUGAUAGGCCGGGUGUGUAAGCGCAGCGAUGCGUUGAGCUAACCGGUACUAAUGAACCGUGAGGCUUAACCUUACAACGCCGAAG